AACGAGGCCGACCUGCGGCUGAGUUACCUGCGGAGGGAUCAUUACAGAGAUUGAUGCACCAAGUGCAUCACCUCCAACCCCUUGCGAAAACAACUAUCAUGUGUUGCUUUGGCAGUGUUUCCACUGCCAGAGGUUUACAUAAAAUCAGCUGUUGGAUGUUGUCUGAGUAAACUAUAUGAAUUAUUUAAAACUUUCAACAACGGAUCU
Molecule: unclassified non-coding RNA, 207 nt
Filed under: soil metagenome
Description: partial contains 5.8S ribosomal RNA, internal transcribed spacer 2, and large subunit ribosomal RNA
Source: RNAcentral